Molecule: long non-coding RNA, 290 nt
Organism: Melitaea cinxia (Glanville fritillary)
Lineage: Eukaryota; Metazoa; Arthropoda; Insecta; Lepidoptera; Nymphalidae
Exons: 3
Source: RefSeq, a predicted model, not a curated record
UUUGAAACUAGGUUUUUAAUACCUACCACUGAUUGACUUUUACUUAACCCUCCGUUGGUAGCGUGGGGUCUUUGAAAGCCCAGGUGUUACAGAAAUGUAAAAUUUUAACAUUUAAAACCAUCUCAGCGAUUCAAUAUUUUGGGUACCCUCCUAAUUUGGAUUAUACUUGCUGCGUAUACCCAUUAACUUCAAUUCGUGCGUAAGUGCCGUGAGAUACAAACGUGUUUUGUGCGUACGGGCUUUGAAAGACCCCACGCGACUAACCGCAAACAGACGACCAAUUUCAUACA